RNAcentral lists this ribosomal RNA (685 nucleotides) under uncultured bacterium. RNAcentral's name for it is "bacterial SSU rRNA". It matches the Rfam family "Bacterial small subunit ribosomal RNA", at positions 28 to 747 of the family's 1533-position model. The record is from RNAcentral.
AUUGAACGCUGGCGGCAUGGCUAAAACAUGCAAGUCGAGCGCGAAAGUGGAGCAAUCCAUGAGUAGAGCGGCGAAAGGGUGAGUAAUACGUUCCUACGUACCUCGAGGUCGGGGAUAGCCAGGGGAAACUCUGGGUAAUACCCGAUGUGAUCGAGAGAUCAAAGGCUUGCCGCCUUGAGAGCGGGGAACGUCCUAUCAGGUAGUUGGUGAGGUAACGGCUCACCAAGCCUUUGACGGGUAGCGGGUGUGAGAGCAUGGCCCGCCACAUCGAAACUGAGACACUGUUCGGACUCCUACGGGAGGCUGCAGUAACGAAUCUUCCGCAAUGCGCGAAAGCGUGACGGAGCAAUGCCGCGUGCAGGAUGAAGCCCCUCGGGGUGUAAACUGCUGUCAGGGAUUAGGAACACAAUGACCAGUCCCAAAGGAAGAGACGACUAACUCUGUGCCAGCAGUCGCGGUAAUACAGAGGUCUCGAGCGUUAGUCGGAAUCACUGGGCUUAAAGCGUGCGUANGCGGAUGUGCAGGCGUCGUGUGAAAGCCCUCGGCUCAACCGGGGAAUUGCACGGCGAACCGCACGUCUCGAGACAAGUAGGGGCGGUCGGAACGAUAGGUGGAGUGGUGAAAUGCGUUGAUAUCUAUCGGAACGCCAAAGGUGAAGACAGACCGCUGGGCUUGUUCUGACGCU